RNAcentral lists this long non-coding RNA (7410 nucleotides) under Ananas comosus (pineapple). Its description in RNAcentral is "long non-coding RNA (ACOM_LNC034070)". The record is from RNAcentral. Lineage: Eukaryota; Viridiplantae; Streptophyta; Magnoliopsida; Poales; Bromeliaceae.
GAUCCGGGCCCGUACACAGACGCCGAACGAACAGCACCUCCUCUGUUCGCCCAAGGCUCAACAACAACGGAUACAUGUAUAAAGAAAUUAAACAAUUCCCAGGAUCACAUUUCAAUAUACAUGGCUUGCACGAAGACAAGCAACAACACAAGUGAUAGUAAGUCUAACUAAACAUGAAAUCCACUGUAAUUUAAAACUUUACAUAACUGAAAUAUUUAGUUAUUACAUGCUUUAUAUACAUUCAUUUACAUGUCUCUGUACAUCGAAAUAGAUGAUACAUGAACCCAAAAUGGUAUACCACUAGUACUCGGGUGUCCACUAGCUAGGCUGCUGGCUCUUGCCUCGAUCCUCGGCCACAAUACUCGCACUGGAACCUGUAUGGUUAGUGGUGUGAGAACUACAAGAAAGUUCCCAGUGGGUUCGGCCGCCGACCUCGCCGACUCACCCACUAGAUCUACUCAGGCAUAUGUAGACAAGAAAAGUAAACAGAUAGUAACCAACUAUAACAUGUAACUACUACAAUGCCUGCACAAAGCUGAAAGGAAGCAAUAUAGGAAAACUGUAAUUAUGCAUGUAUGCUUUUCACUAACUUUACCCAAUCUUUUGGUUAACCCUCUGGUUAACAGCUGGACAAGUACGUUAGUCCUGGGGCAAGUACGUUAGCCCAUAAAUUUACCCAAUUCAGUGGUUAACCCUUUGGUUAACAAUAACUCACCAUCGAAAUCCCUCACGGGCCCUAAGCUGCCUCCCGAUGGGACCGUCUGUCGGACAAGUACGUUAGUCCUGGGGCAAGUACGUUAGCCCAACAAGUGACUACUCCGGAGCUCACUGCCUGGGGGGAGCGACCACCACCAAGCUAAGAAAACAGACUAUGUGAGUAAGAUCUGAUUCCCCUUUAGAGGAUUCAACUGACAACAAUGUCACAAUUUAACUCUAACUAGUUCUUUAUACUAGUUUCAUAAUUGCAUUUCUCGAUGCUAACCAAAUCUCUAGUCAUGAUGUCACCAAGUUUACUAUUGUCUUGGUCCUUUACAGUUUCAUACAUUCAUAGGGUUCUAUGUCCACAUGCUAAUGUUCAUAUGUUCUUACUAUCAAUAAGAAUUCACACGUUCAAUAUCACUUACAUAAUGCCAAUGCCCAUACCCUAUAAUGUAUGAAUUCAGAAGUAAAUAUGCUCAAUGAAUAGCAUAGACAUAAAAGGUGAUUCAAAGACUUCGGAUAGCACCACCCACCUGUAGUGGUGUCCACAACUAGGAUCUCACGUCUCGGAAAGCGUCGACGACUAUCUCUCGCGACUCCGUGCAAAUAGGACUAGAGCGGUCUUCACCGUAAUUAGCGCGUCGCCGACCUGUCGGAAAGUCAAUUUAGACUUUCGAGCAUGUUCAAUUAUCAUUUACAUAAGACUAGGAGAGAUUAAACUAGAGUCAUCGCUCAUAUUUUACAAGUUAGCAUUUCAAUGCUACAGAAAGCGGCAACUAUAGCCGAAAACCUUCUUUUGGCGAUAUCUUUGCGUAGGUUCGUCGGAUUGCCGAACCGACUUCGCCAACGCGUUUCUUUUACCCUGAAUUUGGUUUAUACGCGGUCAAUUUCACUUUAGGAUUCUUAUUUUGCAAAAGUGCAUUGCCGGGGUCAGUUUUCUCAAAAAUACUAUUUCAAUGCAAUUUCACAAUUCAAUAGAGUAAUUCAACUCUUUAUUAGCCCAAGGUCCUCAAAUCAGUUAGUAAAAACUGUCUAAAUACUUCGAUUCAUCUUUCACUCUAUUUCAUUAUCUUUCUUUCUUGCUUUCUUUUCUUUUCUUUCCUUUCUUUUCUUUCCUUUCCUUUCUUUUCUUUCCUUUCCUUUCUUUUCUUUCUUUUCUUGCUUGCUGCCCCUGCAGGGCAGCAGCUGCUGCUGCCACUGCUGCUGCGCAUGCUGCUGCUGUUGCUGCUCCUCAGCUGCUACUCUAGCAGCUGCUGCUGCUGAUGCCACUGCUGCUGGCUGCUGCUGCUGAAGCUGCUGCUCAGCAGCUCCUGCUGAGCUGCUGCUGCUGCUGACUGCUGGCUGCUACAGCUGCUGCUGAUGCUAUUGCUGCUGCUACUCCAGCAGCUGCUGCUGCUGUCCACUGCUGCUGCUGCUAGCUGCUGAAGCUGCUGCUGCUGCUGAAGCUGCUGCUGCUGAAGCUACUGUUGCUGAAGCUGCUGGCAGCAGCUGGCUAAGCUGCUGCUGCUGCAGCAGGUUGCUUGUGCUGCUGCUGCUGCUGCUGAGCAAGCUGCUGCUGCUCGCUGCUAAGGCUGACAGCAGGGAGAAGGGAAGAAACAAAGCAAGGAGAGAGAGAGGAAAUAAAAUUCUCACCUUUCUUUUUCUUCUUCUUCUUCUUCUUCUUCUCUUUUCUCUUCUUUUCUUUUCUCUUCUCUCUCUACGUAUGGGCUGCAGAAGGGGGAUAAGGAUGGAGCUCCCCUGUUGGCAGGUUUAGUGGAAUUCCACUAAGCCAUCGCUAAUUACCAUUUUGCCCCUCGACUAAUCCGUUUAUCCGCGCGGAUCAAAUACCUUUCGCAGGCCCUUCCGAAAGUCCGAUUGAGCUCAAAUUUGGCAGGAAUGUUCGUUUUUACUUGACAAGUCCACUGAAAUUUUAACAUUUCAGUUUCGACCCCGUUUGGUCACUGCGAACUGUCCCGAACUGUAAUCUUUAUCCGAUAACUUUCAGAUGCUAUUUCUCUCUCUACAGGUGUUAGAAAAAUAUGAAACUUCAAAUCUAGCCUCAUAAUAAUGUUCCUGACAUCUCUGCGAAUUUUCAUAAUUUUCUGACGCUGUGCAUUUUCUGCUAAUUUUCUCAGUCCCAUUCUUUACAGAAAAUUUCAAAUCUUCUGUUUUCGCUCCGAUUUCACCCAAACACUUCCAAAAUACACCAAGGGACCUUCCCAAGCUACCAAUUUAAUUUGGAAAUAAUUCCUUUUCAUUUUGACAUUAUUUGAGCCGAAUUAGAAAUAGAAUCGGCUCCAAUUCCAAUACAUGGCCGUUUUGCACUACCACUUCGCACUGAGCUCUUCAAAACCCUUUGAAAACACACCCUUGGCUUUUCCAAAACUUCACAAUUGAUUCGGAGAUACUACAAUGUAUCCUUCCGCCUUACUUUAAUUCUUUUAAUCAAAGUUAGGGUCGGAAAUCCGAAAUUCUCUUUACUCUCUUUACAUUUCGUUUCGCGCCCAAUUUGCGCCGACACACUUAUUUCUCUUUGGAACUCAUUCCAACGCAUCACAAAUCCCUCGGGGAUGAUGUCCAACUAGCUCAAUCCUCACUUUGACCCUCUAGGUCAAAGUUGACAUCGCGACUCCAAGUUUCCAUAUGUUACAUUCUCCUCCCGUUAACAAAAGUUUCGUCCGCGAAACUUAGAUCAUUACCCCUUAUUGCUUAACGGAUGGAGAUAACUUUCCAAAUGCUAUUCCAAAGUUUCUCAAUUUCAUUCCAUACUAUACUGAUUUCUCCAAAUCAGUCUCUACGAACACUUUGUUCGCAUUUCCCAAUCUCAACUCGUCAUCGAUGCUUAUUUUAGCAAUUCUGAGUAAUUCAUCCAUAGGACCAAGCUUUUGCUUUCACGGUCUCUACUCAUAAUCUACUUGCAUAGAUCUACUACACUCGCUUUCAGUAUGAAUGAGUAAACCAGUACCACAAUUCGGUUCAUAAGUUACCGAUCCGAUACAGGCCGAUUGCCUAACCCAACCAUGAUACGACAUAAUGCCUCUCGCUCGCAAGCGUAGACCCAAUUAUCACGUAGCAAAGUUCUCAUUUGCGACAUCGCAUACCUGCUCCAACUGGGAGCAACCGAGACCCUAAACCACGUCAAGUCCUCGGGUUGGUUCGCUACACACUCUGAGUGUUCUCGAUCUCACGAUCUAACACGUGGCAUCCCACGUACUCGGGUUUAUGCUCGGACUACCGUCCUGACCAAAACUCUCUGCCCUACCCGUAGGUACCGGGCCGCUGCCUCUCGCAGCUGACUGCGCCUGCCCUAUGGGCCCAGGCUCCACAGUCUAAAAAGGGUCCAGGCACGGAUCGUCCCCAAGCACUACCCGCCAACGUCGUUUCACACGAAAUGCUCUACAGAGCUACAAGUAUCACUAUCGGCUCCUAAGCACCUAGUGCGAGCCACCAGCCCCGCGAGUGAUCCUUGGUACGCUUCACACUUAGCAACGCUCAAGUGCUACUGCCAACACACUCUCCUGGCUGAAUCAGAAUCCACAUUCUACGGACAGCUAUACUCAAGCGUCCUACACUAUCGCGUCUCUUGCCAGACAUCUCACGCUAGGCAAUUCAACCUAUGUCUCAAUUACGCAACCACAAUUCCUCAACUUAUUUGAGGUACAACUUAACUAACUCGCCAAAACCAGGCGAUCAUCUAACCAUGCCACAACAGUGACGCCCUUACCACUACACAAUCCAUCGGAAAUACCAUCUGGAUUUUCGAACUCUAGAAACGUCUUCUAACGUUUCUACUUUAAUUCUCAUUACCACCCGAAUGGUUUAGAGAAUAGGUCCACCAUGUCCAUCUUCAUCUCGAGCCCCAACAUUGGCUCACUGUGACUGCUCGCUAGCACGAUCCAACUGUCUAUUCCACAAUAGACAAUAUAUUCUCUUCCUCCCUGCAUGCUAGGGUCAAAUCCAAGUUUCUAUUUCAUUCCUCUCGAAGUAAGAGGUCAACCAACAGACCUUUCCGAAUUCUAGGAUAACGACUACAACUCCCUUCCAAGUGUCACUUAACAUUCGAUUAACCACUUAAGCUCAAUAUCAGUCGCUUAUCGUUCAUUCUUCACUAAUCAAUUCGCGCAUCUUCCGCCCAAAUAUCACUUAACUUCGACCAUAAGAUUCAAUUUGAAGUCCAUAGCUUAGGACUGCGUAUAACUUUGACACAUUUUCUGUCGAAGUUUCCUUAUUUCAUAAUCGGCCUUGUUUCCAAUAUCUCUUACACUGGUGUACUAAUCAUAGCUUAGCAUAUAGAAAAUCUUUCUACCUACUUUUCCAUCAAAUAUAGGCGGAUUAAACCACAUAAACGCCGUCAGUCCUACUAACGAUUGCUUGUGCUCAGCCCUUGUUGCAGUCGAAUCAGAAUCAGACGGCCCAGAAACCACUGGAGGGAUAAUCACUGAAAAAGGGGGGGCACAAUCGCUGGCGGAUCAGGUAUAGGUGCAUCCUGACUCCCAGAUACUGGUGUUGUCGCCCGUUGCGACACUAGAUCCUAUAACCUCAUUAUGUUCUCUUCCUGCCUCUGCAUAGCUCCAGCUCCAAUGCGCUCACCGGAGCACGUAGCUCCAGAACUUCGCUAGAUCCAGUCUGCUCUGGCAUCCUAGAAGGUGAUGCCGGAGUGGAUCUCGUCGCACGUCGCGACAUUUCUCUUGAAAUGAACCCUUUACACUAGUAAAACAAUACCAAUCAGGCGAAAGCAAUCAAGUAUAUUUAUACUCAACUCUUAGCUUUAUGUUGUGGGCCCCCAACAUAACUCCUUAGUUGUAUAUAAAUAACACUUGGAUCAGCCCCUAAUUAACAUUAGAGACUUACUAACAACUAACCAAAUUUAUUUAGCUUUCGCUAUCAUUAGAUUCGCGCCACUCGCGUUCCUGGUUCCUAGGUUUCCAUUCCUAAGUCCCCUAGGUCAUCCUAGACUUUCACUAUCACUUGCUCUGAUACCACUCUAUCUGUCACGUCCCGAGCCUCGCCUAUUUGGUCGAUCCGGGCCCGUACACAGACGCCGAACGAACAGUACCUCCUCUGUUCGCCCAAGGCUCAACAACAACGGAUACAUGUAUAAAGAAAUUAAACAAUUCCCAGGAUCACAUUUCAAUAUACAUGGCUUGCACGAUGGCAAGCAACAACACAAGUGAUAGUACGUCUAACUAAACAUAUAAUCCACUGUAAUUUAAAACUUUACAUAACUGAAACAUUUAGUUAUUACAUGCUUUAUAUACAAUCAUUUACAUGUCUCUGUACAUCGAAAUAGAUAAUACAUGAACCCAAAAUGGUAUACCACUAGUACUCGGGUGUCCACUAGCUAGGCUGCUGGCUCUUGCCUCGAUCCUCGGCCACAAUACUCGUACUGGAACCUGUAUGGUUAGUGGUGUGUGAGAACUACAAGAAAGUUCCCAGUGGGUUCGGCUGCCGACUUCGCCGACUCACCCACUAGGUCUAUUCAGGCAUAUGUAGGCAAGAAAAGUAAGCAAAUAGUAACCAACUAUAACAUGUAACUACUACAAUGCCUGUACAAAGCUGAAAGAAGUAACAGAUAUGAAAACUGUAAAUAUGCAUGCAUGCUUUUCAUUAACUUUACCUAAUCUUUUGAUUAACCCUCUGGUUAACAGCUGGACAAGUACGUUAGUCCAUAAAUUUACCCAAUUCAGUGGUUAACCCUUUGGUUAACAAUAACUCACCAACGAAAUCCCUCACGGGCCCUAAGCUGCCUCCCGAUGGGACCGUCUGUCGGACAAGUACGUUAGUCCUGGGGCUAGUACGUUAGCCCAACAAGUGACUACUCCGGAGCUCACUGCCUGGGGGGAGCGACCACCACCAAGCUAAGAAAACAGACUAUGUGAGUAAGAUCUGAUCCCCUUUUAGAGGAUUCAACUGACAACAAUGUCACAAUUUAACUCUAACUAGUUCUUUAUACUAGUUUCAUAAUUGCAUUUCUCGAUGCUAACCAAAUCUCUAAUCAUGAUGUCACCAAGUUUACUAUUGUCUUAGUCCUUUACAGUUUCAUAAUUUCACUGUUUAUCUCACAAUGCUAUCCAAUUCUCUAGUUAGAAUGUCACCAAGUUUACUAUUGUCAAAGUCCAUGCAUUCAUAGGGUUCUAUGUCCACAAUCUAAGGUUCACAAAUUCUCAUUGUUGAUAGGAAUUCACAUUUUCACUCGCUCAAUGCCAAACACCCUAUAAUGCGUGACUACAAAUAUAAAUAUGCUCAACGAAGAAUUAUAGACAUAAAAGGUGAUUCAAAGAGUUCGGAUAGCACCACCCACCUGUAGUGGUGUCAAUCAACUAAAAUCCACGUCUCGGAAAGCGUCGAGACUAUCUCUCGCGACUCCAUGCAAUUAGGACUAGAACGGCCGCUACCGUAAUUAGCGCGUCGUCGACCUGUCGGAAAGUCAAAUUAGACUCUUGGGCACGUUUACUUUUCACUUAUAAAGGAUUAGAAAAGAUUAAACUAGAGUCAAUACUCAUAUUUUACAAAUUAGCAUUUCAAUGCUAUAUAAAACGGCAACUAUAGCCGAAAAACUUCUUUUGGCGAUAUCUUUGCGUAGGUUCGUCGGAUUGCCGAACCGACUUCGCCAACGCGUUUCUUUUACCCUCAAUUUGGUUUACACGCGGUCAAUUUCGCAUUAGGACUCUUAUUUUGCAAAAGUGCAUUGCCGGGGUCAGUUUUCAUUUAAACCCCGUUUUUAUAGAAACC